AAAACAUAGCCUUAAGUAGUUAUUUAAGGUGAAACCUGCCCAAUGAUAAUUUUAAUGGCCGCGGUACCUUGACCGUGCUAAGGUAGCAUAAUCAGUUGACUUUUGAAUGGAGUCUGGAAUGAACGGGAAAACGGGAUUAAGCUGUCUCUAUUAUUAUAUUUUUAAGUUACUAAUUAGGUGAAAAGGCCUAAAAAUGACAAAAGACGAGAAGACCCUUGGAGUUUAAAAAUUAUUUUUGUUGGGGCGACAAAGAAUCUAAACAUUCUUAACUUAUAGGACGUAUUUUUAAUGACUAAAUAAACUACCCAAGGGAUAACAGCAUAAUCUUUCAUGGGUUUGUGACCUCGAUGUUGGACUAGGAAGCUUGUAGAUUAGCCGUCUAUAAUGGGAGAUUCUGUUCGAAUUUUUCUUCCUACGUGAUCU
This 423-nucleotide ribosomal RNA is filed under the name Diaphana globosa. Its description in RNAcentral is "partial 16S ribosomal RNA". It matches the Rfam family "Archaeal large subunit ribosomal RNA", at positions 1902 to 2675 of the family's 2987-position model. The record is from RNAcentral. Lineage: Eukaryota; Metazoa; Mollusca; Gastropoda; Cephalaspidea; Diaphanidae.